Molecule: small nucleolar RNA, 107 nt
Filed under: Capsicum annuum
Lineage: Eukaryota; Viridiplantae; Streptophyta; Magnoliopsida; Solanales; Solanaceae
Description: Plant small nucleolar RNA R71
Rfam family: Plant small nucleolar RNA R71
About the family: R71 is a member of the C/D box family of snoRNAs containing the C (UGAUGA) and D (CUGA) box motifs. Multiple nearly identical copies of this snoRNA have been identified in Arabidopsis, and it is thought to function as a 2'-O-ribose methylation guide for 18S ribosomal RNA.
Source: Rfam by way of RNAcentral
UGUCGAUGAUGUGGGCAGUCCUGAAGGAGAUCUUUGAACCUCUCCUAUGCAUGAAAUAAUUUCUCAUCUAUCAUUAAUUUGAAGCAUAAAAUCACACUGCACAGUCU